Molecule: non-coding RNA, 72 nt
Organism: Anaeramoeba ignava
Lineage: Eukaryota; Anaeramoebidae
Source: the annotation of a GenBank genome assembly
GAGGAUGUAGCUCAAAGGGAGAGCGUUAGACUCCAGAUCUAAAGGUUAUUGGUUCGAAUCCAGUCAUCUUCA